UAAACCAAAGAUCUCGGACAGACAACGUU
RNAcentral lists this small RNA (29 nucleotides) under Bombyx mori (domestic silkworm). RNAcentral describes it as "piRNA piR-bmo-1298905". Lineage: Eukaryota; Metazoa; Arthropoda; Insecta; Lepidoptera; Bombycidae. The record is from RNAcentral.